RNAcentral lists this ribosomal RNA (465 nucleotides) under uncultured bacterium. RNAcentral describes it as "partial 16S ribosomal RNA". It matches the Rfam family "Bacterial small subunit ribosomal RNA", at positions 28 to 507 of the family's 1533-position model. The record is from RNAcentral.
GACGAACGCUGGCGGCGUGCUUAACACAUGCAAGUCGAACGGAAAGGCCCCUUUGUGGGUACUCGCAUGGCGAACGGGGGAGUAAGACGUGAGUAAGUAGCCCUUCCCUUCGGGAGAGCUACAGUAAAGUGAGGCUGGUACAGAAACGGAAUACUUUCUGGAUGCUGGGGGUUGGAAAGCUUCGGCGGGUGUGGAUGGAAUGGCUGGUUAUCUGCUUGUUGGUGGGGUGAUGGCUUACCUAGGCUUGGUCGGGUGGCCAGCCUGCGUGGGUGACCCGCCAUCCUGGGACUUAGGUAAGGCCCCGGCUCCUACGGGUGGGAGCAGGGGGGAAUCUUGCACAAUGGGCGGAAGGCUGAUGCAGCAACGCCGCGGGCCGGAAGACUGCCUUCGGGGUGUAAACCGCUUUUAGCAGGGGCGGAGCUUGUGGUGACGGUACCUGCAGAAGAAGCACCGGCUAACUACGUG